ACUCCUACGGGAGGCAGCAGUGGGGAAUAUUGCACAAUGGGGGGAAACCCUGAUGCAGCCAUGCCGCGUGUGUGAAGAAGGCCUUCGGGUUGUAAAGCACUUUCAGUAGGGAAGGAAGGUAGUGUAGUUAACACCUGCAUUAUUUGACGUAGCGACAGAAGAAGCACCGGCUAACUCCGUGCCAGCAGCCGCGGUAAUACGGAGGGUGCGAGCGUUAAUCGGAAUUACUGGGCGUAAAGCGCAUGCAGGUGGUUUGUUAAGUCAGAUGUGAAAGCCCGGGGCUCAACCUCGGAAUUGCAUUUGAAACUGGCAGACUAGAGUACUGUAGAGGGGGGUAGAAUUUCAGGUGUAGCGGUGAAAUGCGUAGAGAUCUGAAGGAAUACCGGUGGCGAAGGCGGCCCCCUGGACAGAUACUGACACUCAGAUGCGAAAGCGUGGGACAAACAGGGAUUAGAUACCCUGGUAGACAUCA
Molecule: ribosomal RNA, 472 nt
Filed under: uncultured bacterium
Lineage: Bacteria
Description: bacterial SSU rRNA
Rfam family: Bacterial small subunit ribosomal RNA
Source: RNAcentral